GGAAAAAUAGUAUAUUCUUCCAUGUCUGUCCAAGAAAGAAUAUUGGCCACAUAUGAACAAAUAUCACCAAAAGAAUCUCCAUCCUUGGUAUGAUUGAGAAAACCUUUCAGGACAGCUUUUCCGAUCUCAGGGUUCUAUACCAUAGGUGGACCGUAAGUAGGUCGAGUGAUCCUCAUCAUUGAACACUGACACAUCUUCUCCUUUGAUCGGAACAUAACCAGCUGCAUCAAAAAGUAUUCUCAUAUGUUGAUCAGAGCUGACUUCAGUGUCAUUCUUGU
Long non-coding RNA from Arabidopsis thaliana (thale cress), 278 nucleotides. RefSeq annotates it as other RNA. The transcript has a single exon. Lineage: Eukaryota; Viridiplantae; Streptophyta; Magnoliopsida; Brassicales; Brassicaceae. The record is from RefSeq.